CAGCCGCCGCGGUAAUACGGAGGGAGCUAGCGUUGUUCGGAUUUACUGGGCGUAAAGCGCACGUAGGCGGGCUUUUAAGUCAGGGGUGAAAUCCCGGGGCUCAACCCCGGAACUGCCUUUGAUACUGGAAGUCUUGAGUAUGGAAGAGGUGAGUGGAAUUCCGAGUGUAGAGGUGAAAUUCGUAGAUAUUUGGAGGAACACCAGUGGCGAAGGCGGCUCACUGGUCCAUUACUGACGCUGAGGUGCGAAAGCGUGGGGAGCAGACAGGAUUAGAUACCCCCGUAGUCCCUGUCUCUUAUAC
This 301-nucleotide ribosomal RNA is filed under the name uncultured bacterium. RNAcentral's name for it is "partial 16S ribosomal RNA". It matches the Rfam family "Bacterial small subunit ribosomal RNA", at positions 509 to 807 of the family's 1533-position model. The record is from RNAcentral.